UACGUAGGGAGCGAAGCGUUGUCCGGAAUCAUUGGGCGUAAAGCGCGCGUAGGCGCCCGGAAAGUCGGAUGUGAAAUCCCGGGGCUCAACCCCGGGCCUGGCAUCCGAUCACUCCCGGGCUGGAGGCAGGUAGGGGAGGAUCGGAAUUCCUGGUGUAGGCGGUGAAAUGCGCAGAUAUCAGGAGGAACACCGGUGGCGAAGGCGGAUCUCUGGGCCUUGACCUGACGCUGGACGGCGCGAAAGCUAGGGGAGGCGAACGGGA
This 262-nucleotide ribosomal RNA is filed under the name uncultured bacterium. Its description in RNAcentral is "partial 16S ribosomal RNA". It matches the Rfam family "Bacterial small subunit ribosomal RNA", at positions 524 to 777 of the family's 1533-position model. The record is from RNAcentral.